CUACGGGCGGCAGCAGUAGGGAAUAUUGGACAAUGGGCGAAAGCCUGAUCCAGCAACACCGCGUGCACGAUGACGGCCUUCGGGUUGUAAAGUGCUUUUAGAGGAGAUGAGAAAGGACAGUAUCCUCUGAAUAAGCCUCGGCGAACUACGUGCCAGCAGCCGCGGUAAAACGUAGGAGGCAAGCGUUAUCCGGAUUUAUUGGGCGUAAAGCGCGUGCAGGCGGUCUAGCAAGUUGGAUGUGAAAGCUCCCGGCUCAACUGGGAGAGGUCGUUCAAUACUGUUAGACUAGAGAAUAGGAGAGGGAGGCGGAAUUCCGGGUGUAGUGGUGAAAUGCGUAGAUAUCCGGAGGAACACCAGUGGCGAAAGCGGCCUCCUGGACUAUUUCUGACGCUAAGACGCGAAAGCUAGGGUAGCAAACGGGAUUAGAUACCCCUGUAGUC
This 440-nucleotide ribosomal RNA is filed under the name uncultured bacterium. RNAcentral describes it as "partial 16S ribosomal RNA". It matches the Rfam family "Bacterial small subunit ribosomal RNA", at positions 339 to 795 of the family's 1533-position model. The record is from RNAcentral.